CAAGAGGUGGAGGUUGCAGUGAACCAAGAUUGCUCCACUGCACUCCAGCCCAGGCAAGACAGCGAGACUCCAAAAACAAAAACAAAAACAAAAAAAAAAACAAGAGGAAAGAGUAAUAGGGACCUAUGCUGCGUGUCCUUUAUUGAUUUGCUCCUCUAGAUCCACUCUCUUUUUUUUUUUUGAGACAGAUUCUCACUCUGUCACCCAAGCUGGAGUGCGGUGCCUCGAUCUCAGCUCACUACAACCUCC
Molecule: long non-coding RNA, 249 nt
Filed under: Homo sapiens (human)
Lineage: Eukaryota; Metazoa; Chordata; Mammalia; Primates; Hominidae
Description: non-protein coding lnc-XIAP-2:1
Source: RNAcentral